UACGUAGGGGGCAAACGUUAUCCGGAUUUACUGGGUGUAAAGGGAGCGUAGACGGCCAUUCAAGCCAGAUGUGAAAGCCCGGGGCUCAACCCCGGGACUGCAUUUGGAACUGUAUGGCUGGAGUGUCGGAGAGGCAGGCGGAAUUCCUAGUGUAGCGGUGAAAUGCGUAGAUAUUAGGAGGAACACCAGUGGCGAAGGCGGCUUUCUGGACUGAAACUGACGCUGAGGCACGAAAGCGUGGGGAGCGAACAGG
Molecule: ribosomal RNA, 253 nt
Filed under: uncultured bacterium
Lineage: Bacteria
Description: partial 16S ribosomal RNA
Rfam family: Bacterial small subunit ribosomal RNA
Source: RNAcentral